Molecule: long non-coding RNA, 568 nt
Filed under: Helianthus annuus (common sunflower)
Lineage: Eukaryota; Viridiplantae; Streptophyta; Magnoliopsida; Asterales; Asteraceae
Description: hypothetical non coding rna
Source: RNAcentral
GUUCUUUUAAGUUUGUAGUUUUGUACAUAAUUGAUUUCGUUAAAUAUGAUUAAAACGGUAUAUUAUUAGUAUAGUUUCAUUUGAAUAAAAUGAUAUGAGACAUUGAGAUAUUUGUAUUUGAAUGCAAGUUAGAUGACGUUUGACCAUUUCAUUUAUAGCUACUUCGUUAUAGUGUACCUGUUUGACCUGUCAUCAAACGAAUCCUUUAGAGUGAACUAAAAAUUAUGAACGAUGACAACUACGAAAACCUAACUCAACAUUUAAGUGAACGUUUGUAUCUUCAAAUAUGUGAAAAUAGAAUUAAUAGCUUAUAUAAAGAACAAGUAAAGAAAGCAAGAUAAAUCACAUAUUACUAAUACUCUAGACUGAUUUAAGGUUCAGAAAGAUAUAACAAACUCACAAGACUGAAAGAAGAUAUAUGAAAACUUGAAUUAAAACAAUCGGUUCCUUUCAAGUCGUUAGAAAAAACGGUUAUACCUUUCUUAGAGCUGUUGCAAGCUCACCACGCAUGAAAUUUGCAGCAGCCUUGGUAGUCAAUGGGAUUCCGUUUCGGUACUCCUCAAAGUGA